This 441-nucleotide long non-coding RNA is filed under the name Numida meleagris (helmeted guineafowl). RNAcentral's name for it is "lncRNA (ENSNMEG00000001364.1)". Lineage: Eukaryota; Metazoa; Chordata; Aves; Galliformes; Numididae. The record is from RNAcentral.
CCAACAAUGUCACCCAUCUACCCCAACAAUGUCACCCAUUGGGUGUCCCCAGCAGUGUCACCCAUUGUCCCCAACCAUGUCACCCACUGUCCCCAACCAUGUCACCCAUUGUCCCCAACAGCGUCACCCAUUGGUUGUCCCCAACGUCACCCAUUGUCCCCAACAGCGUCACCCAUUGUCCCCAACAGCGUCACCCAUUGGUUGUCCCCAACCAUGUCACCCAUUGACCCCAACCAUGUCACCCAUUGACCCCAACCAUGUCACCCAUUGUCCCCAGCAGCGUCACCCAUCGGGUGUCCCCAACAGUGUCACCCAUUGUCCCCAACCAUGUCACCCACUGUCCCCAACCAUGUCACCCAUUGUCCCCAACAGCGCCACCCACUGUCCCCAACAAUGUCACCCAUUGUUGUCCCCAGCAGCGUCACCCACUGGUUGUCCCCA